AGAGUUUGAUCAUGGCUCAGAAUGAACGUUGGCGGCGUGGAUUAGGCAUGCAAGUCGAACGAGAUCUGUAGCAAUACAGUGAAAGUGGCGAAAGGGAGAGUAAUACGUAGGUACCUGCCCUCGGGUCUGGGAUAGCUGCGGGAAACUGCAAUUAAUACCGGAUGACGUCUCUGGACCAAAGGUGUGAUUCCGCCAGGGGAUGGGCCUGCGUCCUAUCAGCUAGUUGGUGUGGUAACGGCGCACCAAGGCUAAGACGGGUACGGGGUGUGAGAGCAUGCCCCCGCUCACUGGGACUGAGAUACUGCCCAGACACCUACGGGUGGCUGCAGUCGAGAAUCUUCCGCAAUGGGCGCAAGCCUGACGGAGCGACGCCGCGUGUGGGAUGAAGGCCUUCGGGUUGUAAACCACUGUCAGUGGGGAGCAAGUGCAUCAGGGUUCUCCCUGGUGUUGAGCGAUCCGCAGAGAG
Molecule: ribosomal RNA, 466 nt
Filed under: uncultured Pirellula sp.
Lineage: Bacteria; Pseudomonadati; Planctomycetota; Planctomycetia; Pirellulales; Pirellulaceae
Description: bacterial SSU rRNA
Rfam family: Bacterial small subunit ribosomal RNA
Source: RNAcentral